CUGUUGCCGAGAGGAAAGUCCGGGCAGCUCGAGCCACCAUGCUUCCUAACGGGAAGGCAUCCGAUGAAUGUGUUAAUGCGUUAAUGCGUUAAUGUGUUAGUGGGGUGACAGAAAGCGCCACAGAAAACAAACCGCUAUUAUGCAAGGCUGCCUCCGGCCACCUUGCAUAAAGCAAGGGUGAAAACGCGGGGUAAGAGCCCACGACGUGUCGCGGUGACGCGCACGAUGGCAAGCCUCAUGGGCUGAAAGACCAUGUAUACCAGCUAUAUGUAGGACCGGCUCGUCCGAUGCUGGGGGGUAGGUUGAUAGAGGCCGUCGGUGACGGCGGUCCUAGAUUGAUGAUAGAACACGACAGAACCCGGCUUACAGGCCC
Molecule: RNase P RNA, 373 nt
Filed under: bovine gut metagenome
Also listed under: 1 other name
Description: Bacterial RNase P class A
Rfam family: Bacterial RNase P class A
About the family: Ribonuclease P (RNase P) is a ubiquitous endoribonuclease, found in archaea, bacteria and eukarya as well as chloroplasts and mitochondria. Its best characterised activity is the generation of mature 5'-ends of tRNAs by cleaving the 5'-leader elements of precursor-tRNAs.
Source: RNAcentral